AAUCAACGCUGGCGGCGUGCCUCAGACAUGCAAGUCGAACGCGAAAGUCCCCUUCGGGGGACAAGUAGAGUGGCGCACGGGUGAGUAACACGUAGGUAAUCUACCUUUGGAUGGGGAAUAACAACCGGAAACGGUUGCUAAUACCGCAUAAUGCAGCGGCACCUAAUGGUGACAGUUGUUAAAGCGGGGGAUCGAAAGACCUCGCGUCUGAAGAGGAGCCUGCGGCGGAUUAGCUAGNGGUAAGGUAAUGGCUUACCAAGGCUACGAUCCGUAACCGGCCUGAGAGGGCGGUCGGUCACACUGACACUGACAUACGGGUCAGACUCCUACGGGAGGCAGCAGUGGGGAAUAUUGGACAAUGGGCGCAAGCCUGAUCCAGCGAUGCCGCGUGUGUGAAGAAGGCCUGCGGGUUGUAAAGCACUUUCAGUAAGGGAAG
Molecule: ribosomal RNA, 436 nt
Filed under: uncultured bacterium
Lineage: Bacteria
Description: bacterial SSU rRNA
Rfam family: Bacterial small subunit ribosomal RNA
Source: RNAcentral